This 734-nucleotide ribosomal RNA is filed under the name uncultured bacterium. RNAcentral describes it as "bacterial SSU rRNA". It matches the Rfam family "Bacterial small subunit ribosomal RNA", at positions 62 to 795 of the family's 1533-position model. The record is from RNAcentral.
UCGAACGGGGUUUAUAUAACAGAACUCUCCGGAGGGAAGAUAUAUAAACCUAGUGGCGGACGGGUGAGUAACGCGUGGGCAACCUGCCCUGUACCGGGGGACAACAGCCAGAAAUGGCUGCUAAUACCGCAUAAGCCUGCUGUGCCGCAUGGCACAGCAGGGAAAACCACGGUGGUACAGGAUGGGCCCGCGUCUGAUUAGUUAGUUGGCAGGGUAACGGCCUACCAAGACAACGAUCAGUAGCCGGCUUGAGAGAGUGGACGGCCACAUUGGGACUGAGACACGGCCCAGACUCCUGCGGGAGGCAGCAGUGGGGAAUAUUGCACAAUGGGGGGAACCCUGAUGCAGCAAUGCCGCGUGGGUGAAGAAGCACUCCGGUGCGUAAAGCCCUGUCAGCAGGGAAGAAAAUGACAGUACCUGGACAAGAAGCCCCGGCUAACUACGUGCCAGCAGCCGCGGUAAUACGUAGGGGGCAAGCGUUAUCCGGAUUUACUGGGUGUAAAGGGAGCGCAGGCGGCGUGGCAAGUCAGAUGUGAAAACCCGGGGCCCAACCCCGGGAGUGCAUUUGAAACUGCCAUGCUGGAGUGCCGGAGAGGUAAGCGGAAUUCCUAGUGUAGCGGUGAAAUGCGUAGAUAUUAGGAGGAACACCAGUGGCGGAGGCGGCUUACUGGACGGUAACUGACGCUGAGGCUCGAAAGCGUGGGGAGCAAACAGGAUUAGAUACCCUGGUAGUC